This 1101-nucleotide ribosomal RNA is filed under the name Levilactobacillus brevis. Its description in RNAcentral is "bacterial SSU rRNA". It matches the Rfam family "Bacterial small subunit ribosomal RNA", at positions 40 to 1107 of the family's 1533-position model. Lineage: Bacteria; Bacillati; Bacillota; Bacilli; Lactobacillales; Lactobacillaceae. The record is from RNAcentral.
CUGCAAUCGCUGCUAUACAUGCAGUCGAACGAGCUUCCGUUGAAUGACGUGCUUGCACUGAUUUCAACAAUGAAGCGAGUGGCGAACUGGUGAGUAACACGUGGGAAAUCUGCCCAGAAGCAGGGGAUAACACUUGGAAACAGGUGCUAAUACCGUAUAACAACAAAAUCCGCAUGGAUUUUGUUUGAAAGGUGGCUUCGGCUAUCACUUCUGGAUGAUCCCGCGGCGUAUUAGUUAGUUGGUGAGGUAAAGGCCCACCAAGACGAUGAUACGUAGCCGACCUGAGAGGGUAAUCGGCCACAUUGGGACUGAGACACGGCCCAAACUCCUACGGGAGGCAGCAGUAGGGAAUCUUCCACAAUGGACGAAAGUCUGAUGGAGCAAUGCCGCGUGAGUGAAGAAGGGUUUCGGCUCGUAAAACUCUGUUGUUAAAGAAGAACACCUUUGAGAGUAACUGUUCAAGGGUUGACGGUAUUUAACCAGAAAGCCACGGCUAACUACGUGCCAGCAGCCGCGGUAAUACGUAGGUGGCAAGCGUUGUCCGGAUUUAUUGGGCGUAAAGCGAGCGCAGGCGGUUUUUUAAGUCUGAUGUGAAAGCCUUCGGCUUAACCGGAGAAGUGCAUCGGAAACUGGGAGACUUGAGUGCAAAAGAGGACAGUGGAACUCCAUGUGUAGCGGUGGAAUGCGUAGAUAUAUGGAAGAACACCAGUGGCGAAGGCGGCUGUCUAGUCUGUAACUGACGCUGAGGCUCGAAAGCAUGGGUAGCGAACAGGAUUAGAUACCCUGGUAGUCCAUGCCGUAAACGAUGAGUGCUAAGUGUUGGAGGGUUUCCGCCCUUCAGUGCUGCAGCUAACGCAUUAAGCACUCCGCCUGGGGAGUACGACCGCAAGGUUGAAACUCAAAGGAAUUGACGGGGGCCCGCACAAGCGGUGGAGCAUGUGGAUUAAUUCGAAGCUACGCGAAGAACCUUACCAGGUCUUGACAUCUUCUGCCAAUCUUAGAGAUAGACGCUUCCCUUCGGGGACAGAUGACAGGUGAUGCAUGCUGUCGUCAGCUCGUGUCGUGAGAUGUUGGGUAAGUCCCGCACGAGCGCAAUCCCUA